Molecule: ribosomal RNA, 253 nt
Filed under: uncultured bacterium
Lineage: Bacteria
Description: partial 16S ribosomal RNA
Rfam family: Bacterial small subunit ribosomal RNA
Source: RNAcentral
UACGGGGGGUGCAAGCGUUGUCCGGAUUUACUGGGCGUAAAGAGCGUGUAGGCGGCCUCACAGGUCCGUUGUGAAAACUGAAGGCUUAACCUUCAGACGUCGACGGAAACCGUGUGGCUAGAGUCCGGAAGAGGAGAGUGGAAUUCCUGGUGUAGCGGUGAAAUGCGCAGAUAUCAGGAAGAACACCAAUGGCGAAGGCAGCUCUCUGGGACGGUACUGACGCUGAGACGCGAAAGCGUGGGGAGCAAACAGG